GAUGAACGCUGGCGGCGUGCCUAAUACAUGCAAGUCGAACGCGAGAGGAGGGAGCUUGCUCCCUCUGAUCGAGUGGCGGACGGGUGAGUAACACGUAGGCAACCUGCCCAUCAGUCCGGGAUAACCGCGGGAAACCGUGGCUAAUACCGGAUGAUCCGCUCCACCGCGGGGCGGGGAGUGGAAAGACGGUUUCGGCUGUCGCUGAUGGAUGGGCCUGCGGCGCAUUAGCUGGUUGGCGGGGUAACGGCCCACCAAGGCAACGCUGCGUAGCCGACCUGAGAGGGUGAUCGGCCACACUGGGACUGAGACACGGCCCAGACUCCUACGGGAGGCAGCAGUAGGGAAUCUUCCGCAAUGGACGCAAGUCUGACGGAGCAACGCCGCGUGAGUGAAGAAGGGUUUCGGCUCGUAAAACUCUGUUGUUAAGGAAGAACGACAGGUAGAGUAACUGCUACCUGUGUGACGGUACUUAACCAGAAAGCCACGGCUAACUACGUGCCAGCAGCCGCCGUAA
Molecule: ribosomal RNA, 514 nt
Filed under: uncultured bacterium
Lineage: Bacteria
Description: partial 16S ribosomal RNA
Rfam family: Bacterial small subunit ribosomal RNA
Source: RNAcentral